GUGCUCACAUGGCAUUGUAUGUGCUACAAUCAAAACAAAAUCGAAAUUAGUAUGGUCCUUGUGCAAGGAUGACAUGCAGAUUCCCGAAGCAUUUUAUGGUUUU
This 103-nucleotide small nuclear RNA is filed under the name Peromyscus maniculatus bairdii (prairie deer mouse). The record is from RNAcentral. Lineage: Eukaryota; Metazoa; Chordata; Mammalia; Rodentia; Cricetidae.